AGUGAACGCUGGCGGUAGGCCUAACACAUGCAAGUCGAACGGCAGCACAGUAAGAGCUUGCUCUUACGGGUGGCGAGUGGCGGACGGGUGAGGAAUACAUCGGAAUCUACUUUUUCGUGGGGGAUAACGUAGGGAAACUUACGCUAAUACCGCAUACGACCUACGGGUGAAAGCAGGGGAUCUUCGGACCUUGCGCGAUUGAAUGAGCCGAUGUCGGAUUAGCUAGUUGGCGGGGUAAAGGCCCACCAAGGCGACGAUCCGUAGCUGGUCUGAGAGGAUGAUGAGCGACACUGGAACUGAGACACGGUCCAGACUCCUAAGGGAGGCAGAAGUGGGGAAUAUUGGACAAAGGGCGCAAGCCUGAGCCAGACAUACCGCGUGGGUGAAGAAGGCCUUCGGGUUGUAAAGACCUUUUGUUGGGAAAGAAAAGCAGCAGGUUAAUACCCCGCUGUUCUGACGGUACCCAAAGAAUAAGCACCGGCUAACUUCGUG
Molecule: ribosomal RNA, 492 nt
Filed under: uncultured bacterium
Lineage: Bacteria
Description: partial 16S ribosomal RNA
Rfam family: Bacterial small subunit ribosomal RNA
Source: RNAcentral